This is a non-coding RNA of Phascolarctos cinereus (koala), 653 nucleotides long. The record is from RefSeq and is a predicted model, not a curated record. NCBI's taxonomy places the organism in Eukaryota, Metazoa, Chordata, Mammalia, Diprotodontia, Phascolarctidae.
GCCUUCAUGGCGAUUGGAACAAAUUGUCCUCAUCCACCCAUUCCACCAGGAGAAGUCUUCACUUACUCAGAGUGGACAUCCCCCUCAUUCACUGACAGGUUAUUCUUAUUUGUUACAAGGGAGAACUUCUAUAUGGAUGGAGUAGGAGGAGGCUGUGGCACGGAGUUGCUGCUGACCUAAAAUUGAAGACUUGGCUUCCCUGACUCAGCAGGAUACAGAUGUGUGAACCCUGCUCAGAGCAGGGCAGACAGAGACGGGGAAGCCAGCCCCACACAAGGGAACUCAUCCCUGGGCAUGCGUGUGUGCACCCCUAGCCAUCUACCUCCAUGCUGGCGUCAGGGAGCUUGAAAGCCUGAUGAUGGACAGCAGGUCUGCUGAAGCCUCUGGGGAGCUGGCUGGUUGUUUCUGGAAAGAGAGACUGAUCUUGCAGCAGCAGCAGCAACAGCAGCAGAUACAGCCCAGCUGGACCCACUGGUUGGUUUAGUGACUGACUGCAAAGUCAGGGGGACUGGACUGGGGUGUGGAAGGACGGAAAGGGGCUCUGAAAGUGGUGCUUUAUGAGCCCUUGUUCAACUCAGGCAUCAGCCCUCUGCCUGGGUUAUUACAUCAGCCUCUUAACAGACCUCCCUGCCUCCAGUCAGCCCAUUCAAACC